GGGCGCCGGCGGCCGCGGCUGCCGUUCCGGGAGCUCGUUUGCAUCCGCCAGCGCGGCGAGCGGCGCGGGGCCCUCGGAGCAGGAGCCAAGAAGCCCCUAUCCCCACGGCGGCUGCGGCGACCACCUGAGGGCCGACGCCCAGGUAUGUAGUGGGGACAGCCGGCCUGGGGGCUGGUCGGCCUCGUGCUGGCCUCCCCACCCCCGUCUCCUUGCGUCUCGCCUGGGUGGUAAUCAAGGCCUCCGGCUGCCUGUCCGAGAAAUGCCUCCGGAGCCAGCUGUCAGGGCCGGCCCAAGGCUCCAAGCCACAGCGCUGGGCCUGUCACCCGAGGCUCUCCCCAGUGGCCAGCCCCUGCCUUUCCUGAGCGGCAACAGCACAGCCAUUUCAAACCAGCAAACGAGCCUCUUCUUCCUGGUUCAGACCCCCCACAAACCCCCUCCCCGUGAU
RNAcentral lists this long non-coding RNA (445 nucleotides) under Sus scrofa (pig). RNAcentral describes it as "lncRNA (ENSSSCG00050041391.1)". Lineage: Eukaryota; Metazoa; Chordata; Mammalia; Artiodactyla; Suidae. The record is from RNAcentral.